Molecule: long non-coding RNA, 3156 nt
Filed under: Gossypium raimondii (Peruvian cotton)
Lineage: Eukaryota; Viridiplantae; Streptophyta; Magnoliopsida; Malvales; Malvaceae
Description: long non-coding RNA (GRAI_LNC000009)
Rfam family: MIR7502 microRNA precursor family (bases 2640-2784)
Source: RNAcentral
UCAUUUUGACCUAAUCCGAAUUCAAUUUAAACAAAAAAAAAUAUUUUAAUUAUAAAAAUAUAUAAAUCAUUAUUUUAUCAACUUUUUUGAAACCAGACCUCAACCCGUCCCAUUAUCAACUCUACUCCAACUAAAGAACUGUAACAGUUAAACUGAACAAAACUUAACUACAAUGGGUAGGUUCUGUAAGAGAGAAAACAGGAAGAGCAGCAGCAGACAUAAAAAGAAACAGAGAAUUUAGUUAAAAUCAGUUAACCAUUGAAUGAUUUUCCCGGAAAAUUUGGCAAUGAUUUUCCUACCUUAAACAAACAACCAUUUUUAGUCUUUGUGGUUUAUAGUUUCUUUGUCAGCUGAACCUCAAAUUUGUGCUCCAAAAACAUUCACCGUUGAUACUUUGCCUGCAAAAACAGCAAACAAGAUUAACCACUCAAAAGAGCUUUAUCUCUUUUCAGUACUGAAAAAUUCAAAUAAAAAUCCUUGCUAGCCUCUCAUUUUCACUCAUUAAAAACAGACUGUUUUGUUUUUUGUUUUGUUUUUUAUAAUUGUUUUUCAACUUUGUUUCUUCUUCAAUUUUUUUGCUGUUAAAAAACGAGAAGAAGAAACACAGGAAUUGAAUGAUGGUUCAAACAUUGACUCGCCUGUAUAGUACUCGAAAUGUAGGAUCUUUUCGCCUGUUUGAUAAUCCAAUGAGACAUCACCACCACCAGCAACAAAACGCAACCGCGGCAGGCGGUAAUAACGAGCACGUGGAUGAUGUCGAUGAUAAUCUGCAACCAAGUGAAGAUAAAUCAAUGGGGCAGCAAAAUAUAGGAGAGCCUGUGGUAGAAACUCCCCAGGAGAGGCCACAAACAGGUGCGAGAAUUUUCUUUCCUACCAAACACGCUCAAACAUCCAUAUUCUUUUUCAGUUUUUCACCACCCCUAAUUCCAUUUCUUCCAGAUUUUUCACUCUGCUAAGCAAACCACUAAUCUUGUUUCCGUAUUUUUGCUUUACAAUCUAUGAACAAGAAAGCUAACGAAGAUGACGCUAAUCUUUUGUAAUGCAGCUAAGUGAACAAGAAUUCUUUUUCCUACCAAACACGCUCAAACAUUCAUAUUCUUUUUCAGUUUUUCACCUUCUUUUAUUCAUUCUUCUGUUUUUUUUUUCACUCUGCCAAGCAAACCACUAAACUCGUUUUCGUAUUUUUGCUUUACUAUCUAUGAACAAGAAAGCUAAUGAAGACAAAGCUAAUCUUUGUAAUGCAGUUAAGUGAGCCGGAAUUUUCUUCCCUACCUAAGACACUCAAACAUUAAUGUUCUUCUUUGGUUUUUCACCAUCCUAUAUCCAUUUCUUCCCUUUUUUCUACUCUGCCAAGCUAACCACUAAUCUCAUUUUCCUAAUUUUUGCUUUACAAUCUAUGAACAAGAAAGCUAAUUAUUUCCUUCUAAUAUAUAUAUGCAUGUAUAUAUUGAUACAGAUAUGGAGCAGAUGAAGGAAAGGUUUUCUAAGUUGCUUCUGGGAGAAGAUAUGUCAGGAGGAGGCAAAGGUGUUCCUUCGGCUUUGGCUUUGUCAAAUGCAGUGACAAACCUAGCAGGUAGAACAUUUCUUGUCUAAAAUUUACGGUAUAAUGAUAAACUUAUUUCUUUAUUUUUUUAGAGCUAAAUUUGACUCUAAAACUUUCAAAAAGGGUCAAAUUGCUUUUCUUAUAUGUUAGUUUACAUGUAUUUCACGCUAACAUGGCAUUAUUCAUCUUAUAUGCCACGUCAAAAAAUAAUUUUAAAAUUAUAAAAAUAUUCAAAAAUUGAAAAAAAAAUUCAAUAUUAAAAAAAAAAGCAUGAAGUACACAGUGAGUUGUGAUAUGGAUGCCAUAUUAGUCAGAGUUUCCAUUAAAAACAUCAACUCGACUCUUUUUUUAAAAGAUUAAAGAUCAAAUUGACUCUUUUUAACAAAUUGAGAACCAGAUUUAGUUAAAAAAUGAAUAAGGAUCAGAUCUGACAUUAUGUCAAAAUCUAAUUAUCAAAUGCAUAAUAAAAACCUCAAAGUUUAGCUUAGUUAGUUCAUGUAACCACUCAUAGGAAACAAAAUCCGGCAAUUUCAGGGUCGAAUCCCAUCGAUCUUCUAGCUUUCAUUUUUCAUUUCCAUGAUGAAAAAUGUUGAUAAUUUGAACAUAUUGGUAAAUGAUAAUUGCAGCAUCUGUUUUUGGGGAACAAGUGAAAUUAGGACCUAUGGCACCAGAAACCAAAGCAAGGUGGAGAAAAGAAAUGGAUUGGCUUCUAUCUGUAACCGAUCACAUUGUCGAAUUCGUUCCUUCGCAACAGAAAACGAAGAACGGAACGAACGUGGAGGUAACAUAUAACUCACAAAUCUUCGAACUAGUGCUACCAUUUCACUAUAUGAACUCACAACAACUUGUUUCGAAUUUGGACAGAUUAUGGUCACGAGACAAAGGAGUGAUCUGCUUGUGAACAUACCUGGUCUAAGAAAACUCGACACGAUGCUUAUUGUGAGUAACUUUAUCCUUCUAGUUAACUUGAUAAAAAUCGCUAAAAGUAUCAUGGAGGCCCAUGUACUAUAAUUCAGAUGUAUUUUACCAUUUCUACUGAAAAAAAAUGAGCCAAUCAAUCUCUGUACGAUAGAUUAAAGAACAAACUAGUCCUUUAUGUUAAAAAUUUCAUCAGUUUGUACUGUUAAAAACUAGUUCCUAUAUAUUAGCAUGAGGUACACAUGGCAUGCCAAGUGAUACUAUCUAGUUAUUUUGUUAGCCACGCCAAUUUUUAACAUGACAAAUGGAUGAAAUUUCUAACAGAAAUAAUCAAUUUGCUCUUUUAUCCAAUGUACAAAGACUAAUUUGCUUAUUUUUUGAAUAGAGAGGGUAAAAUGCAAUUCGAAAGAGGCUCCAUGAAACUUUUAGUGAUAAAGAUCAUAUGAUAAAUAAAUAUUUGAUCAAAAUUUAUAAUUAAAAAACAGGAGACUCUUGAUGGCUUUGGACAAGAAAAAGAAUUUUGGUAUGUCUCUAAAGAUGAUGACCAAGAGAAUGAAAACGGUCAAAGGGACGAUAAAUGGUGGCAUCCAACUGUUAAAGUACCUGUAAACGGGUUAUCGGAAAUGUCACGGAGAUGGCUGCAGUGUCAAAAGGAGUCAGUAAACCAGGUGCUAAAAGCAGCUAUGGCUAUCAAU